Molecule: long non-coding RNA, 264 nt
Organism: Orcinus orca (killer whale)
Lineage: Eukaryota; Metazoa; Chordata; Mammalia; Artiodactyla; Delphinidae
Exons: 2
Source: RefSeq, a predicted model, not a curated record
GACGGCGUUGAGGGAGAGGUUGGUGUGGAUGUAUCCGGGGCUGAUGACGGUCACCUCGAUGUCAUGCUGCUCCACCUCGGCCCGCAGACAGUCGAAGAAGGCCUGGGUCGCGUGUUUGGAGGCCGCGUCUGCAAAGCUUCCACAGGAUGGCCUUUCAUCUGGAAGAGCUGUCCGGGCCCCCUCCGCUCCCCAGCAACAGCCUCUCUGCACAGCGUCAGGUGCUCUGAGGGGACAGCGGAGCCCUCCGAUGGCACUCCUGGGAAA